GCGAAAAGCUUUCGGGCUGAGUAGAGCGGCGGACGGGUGCGUAACGCGUGGGAAUCUACCUUGUAGUGGGGGAUAGCCCGGAGAAAUCCGGAUUAACACCGCAUAAUCUCUACGGAGGAAAAGGGGCCUCUCCUUGGAAGCUCUUGCUAUUAGAUGAGCCCGCGUUAGAUUAGCUAGUUGGUGAGGUAAUGGCUCACCAAGGCAACGAUCUAUAGCUGGUUUGAGAGGAUGAUCAGCCACACUGGGACUGAGACACGGCCCAGACUCCUACGGGAGGCAGCAGUGGGGAAUAUUGGACAAUGGGCGAAAGCCUGAUCCAGCAAUACCGCGUGUGUGAAGAAGGCCUGAGGGUUGUAAAGCACUUUCAAUAGGGACGAAAUGUUUAGAGUUAAUAACUCUGAAUCCUGACUUAACCUAUAGAAGAAGCACCGGCUAACUCCGUGCCAGCAGCCGCGGUAAUACGGAGGGGGCUAGCGUUGUUCGGAAUUACUGGGCGUAAAGCGUACGUAGGCGGAUCAGAAAGUAUGGGGUGAAAUCCCAGGGCUUAACCCUGGAACUGCCUCAUAAACUCCUGGUCUUGAGUUCGAGAGAGGUGAGUGGAAUUCCAAGUGUAGAGGUGAAAUUCGUAGAUAUUUGGAGGAACACCAGUGGCGAAGGCGGCUCACUGGCUCGAUACUGACGCUGAGGUACGAAAGUGUGGC
Molecule: ribosomal RNA, 701 nt
Filed under: uncultured bacterium
Lineage: Bacteria
Description: bacterial SSU rRNA
Rfam family: Bacterial small subunit ribosomal RNA
Source: RNAcentral